GACGAACGCUGGCGGCGUGCCUAAUACAUGCAAGUCGAGCGGACGAAUCGAAAGCUUGCUUUUGAUUCGUUAGCGGCGGACGGGUGAGUAACACGUGGACAACCUGCCCUGUAGACGGGGAUAACACCGAGAAAUCGGUGCUAAUACCGGAUAACACGAAAUGUCGCAUGACGUUUCGUUGAAAGACGGCGCAAGCUGUCGCUACAGGAUGGGCCCGCGGCGCAUUAGCUAGUUGGUGAGGUAACGGCUCACCAAGGCGACGAUGCGUAGCCGACCUGAGAGGGUGAUCGGCCACACUGGGACUGAGACACGGCCCAGACUCCUACGGGAGGCAGCAGUAGGGAAUCUUCCGCAAUGGACGAAAGUCUGACGGAGCAACGCCGCGCGAGCGAAGAAGGCCUUCGGGUCGUAAAGCUCUGUUGUUAGGGAAGAACAAGUAACGCAGUAACUGGCGUUACCGUGACGGUACCUAACGAGAAAGCCACGGCUAACUACGUG
Molecule: ribosomal RNA, 498 nt
Filed under: uncultured bacterium
Lineage: Bacteria
Description: partial 16S ribosomal RNA
Rfam family: Bacterial small subunit ribosomal RNA
Source: RNAcentral